RNAcentral lists this ribosomal RNA (593 nucleotides) under uncultured marine eukaryote. RNAcentral describes it as "SSU rRNA". It matches the Rfam family "Eukaryotic small subunit ribosomal RNA", at positions 613 to 1207 of the family's 1831-position model. The record is from RNAcentral.
UUGUGGUUAAAAAGCUCGUAGUUGGAUCUCGGCGGACUGAGGGCGGUUUGCUUGCUAGUAUUACUGCCCUAUAGUCCGUAGUUUUGCCAGAGGUUUCGGGGUGCUCUUAAUCGAGUGUCCCGGGAUGCUGGCAGGUUUACUUUGAAAAAAUUAGAGUGCUCAAAGCAGGCUAUUACGCCUGAAUAUUCGUGCAUGGAAUAAUAGAAUAGGAAGUCGUUUCUAUUUUGUUGGUUUUCGGAAAUCGACUUAAUGAUUAAUAGGGACAGUCGGGGGCAUUUGUAUUCAAACGACAGAGGUGAAAUUCUUGGACCGUUUGAAGACAAACUACUGCGAAAGCAUUUGCCAAGAAUGUUUUCAUUAAUCAAGAACGAAAGUUAGAGGUUCGAAGGCGAUUAGAUACCGCCCUAGUUCUAACCAUAAACGAUGCCAGCUAGCGAUCUGAGGACGUUUUUUUUGUAGACUCCUCAGGAAGCUUCCGGGAAACCAAAGCGUGUGGGUUCCGGGGGAAGUAUGGUUGCAAAGCUGAAACUUAAAGGAAUUGACGGAAGGGCACCACCAGGAGUGGAGCCUGUGGCUUAAUUUGACUCAACACG